CGAGACAGAUUGCUAAUACCGGAUAACAACAGAUGAUGCCUAUCAACUGUUUAAAAGAUGGUUCUGCUAUCACUCUUGGAUGGACCUGCGGUGCAUUAGCUAGUUGGUAGGGUAACGGCCUACCAAGGCGAUGAUGCAUAGCCGAGUUGAGAGACUGAUCGGCCACAUUGGGACUGAGACACGGCCCAAACUCCUACGGGAGGCAGCAGU
Molecule: ribosomal RNA, 210 nt
Filed under: uncultured Lactobacillus sp.
Lineage: Bacteria; Bacillati; Bacillota; Bacilli; Lactobacillales; Lactobacillaceae
Description: partial 16S ribosomal RNA
Rfam family: Bacterial small subunit ribosomal RNA
Source: RNAcentral